GACGAACGCUGGCGGCGUGCUUAACACAUGCAAGUCGAACGGAAAGGCCCUGCUUUUGUGGGGUGCUCGAGUGGCGAACGGGUGAGUAACACGUGAGUAACCUGCCCUUGACUUUGGGAUAACUUCAGGAAACUGGGGCUAAUACCGGAUAGGAGCUCCUGCUGCAUGGUGGGGGUUGGAAAGUUUCGGCGGUUGGGGAUGGACUCGCGGCUUAUCAGCUUGUUGGUGGGGUAGUGGCUUACCAAGGCUUUGACGGGUAGCCGGCCUGAGAGGGUGACCGGCCACAUUGGGACUGAGAUACGGCCCAUACUCCUACGGGAGGCAGCAGUGGGGAAUAUUGCACGAUGGGCGGAAGCCUGAUGCAGCAACGCCGCGUGCGGGAUGACGGCCUUCGGGUUGUAAACCGCUUUCGCCUGUGACGAAGCGUGAGUGACGGUAAUGGGUAAAGAAGCACCGGCUAACUACGUG
RNAcentral lists this ribosomal RNA (468 nucleotides) under uncultured bacterium. RNAcentral describes it as "partial 16S ribosomal RNA". It matches the Rfam family "Bacterial small subunit ribosomal RNA", at positions 28 to 507 of the family's 1533-position model. The record is from RNAcentral.